This 844-nucleotide ribosomal RNA is filed under the name uncultured bacterium. Its description in RNAcentral is "bacterial SSU rRNA". It matches the Rfam family "Bacterial small subunit ribosomal RNA", at positions 28 to 862 of the family's 1533-position model. The record is from RNAcentral.
GAUGAACGCUAGCUACAGGCUUAACACAUGCAAGUCGAGGGGAAACGACAUCGAAAGCUUGCUUUUGAUGGGCGUCGACCGGCGCACGGGUGAGUAACGCGUAUCCAACCUGCCCACCACUUGGGGAUAACCUUGCGAAAGUAAGACUAAUACCCAAUGACGUCUCUAGAAGACAUCUGAAAGAGAUUAAAGAUUUAUCGGUGAUGGAUGGGGAUGCGUCUGAUUAGCUUGUUGGCGGGGUAACGGCCCACCAAGGCAACGAUCAGUAGGGGUUCUGAGAGGAAGGUCCCCCACAUUGGAACUGAGACACGGUCCAAACUCCUACGGGAGGCAGCAGUGAGGAAUAUUGGUCAAUGGACGAGAGUCUGAACCAGCCAAGUAGCGUGCAGGAAGACGGCCCUAUGGGUUGUAAACUGCUUUUAUAAGGGAAUAAAGUGAGUCUCGUGAGACUUUUUGCAUGUACCUUAUGAAUAAGGACCGGCUAAUUCCGUGCCAGCAGCCGCGGUAAUACGGAAGGUCCGGGCGUUAUCCGGAUUUAUUGGGUUUAAAGGGAGCGUAGGCCGGAGAUUAAGCGUGUUGUGAAAUGUAGAUGCUCAACAUCUGAACUGCAGCGCGAACUGGUUUCCUUGAGUACGCACAAAGUGGGCGGAAUUCGUGGUGUAGCGGUGAAAUGCUUAGAUAUCACGAAGAACUCCGAUUGCGAAGGCAGCUCACUGGAGCGCAACUGACGCUGAAGCUCGAAAGUGCGGGUAUCGAACAGGAUUAGAUACCCUGGUAGUCAGCACGGUAAACGAUAGAUGCCCGCUGUUGGUCUGAAUAGGUCAGCGGCCAAGCGAAAGCAUAA